GCAUAAGCCUAGUUUAUGAAGAGGAGCUUUCCUCGCUUCCCUCAACGUGAAACCGCGCAAGCCCUUCGUUGUUUCCACGCUCCACUUGAUCCGUGAACGGGUUUAGCCAUGAUUUUACCCAGGCUGUUGGAACAAGAAAGCCUGUUUUCCUCUCUCUGCUGUUCAAGGUCUUUUAGCCAGAACGCACGCACUGUGUGAGCCUCACUUCAGAUACUCCAAGGAUUAAUUGAAGAACAUGAUGGAAGGAAGGGGAGAGCGUGAGUAAAAUAGCUGGUUUAUAUUUGUAUCCUCAAAUGUCAGUUCAUUACCAAGUUAGAAGCCAGCUGAUGCAGAGAACUCAUUAUGGCUUCAUUUAGAAUGCUUAUUUCUUGAGAGACGAAAAAUAAUUCUUACUUGUCCAACACAGAUAUGCUACGUUCUACAGCACACUUUGGGAUGUGAAGUAAAGAGGGUUUUCUUUA
Long non-coding RNA from Pezoporus flaviventris, 461 nucleotides. RefSeq lists it as uncharacterized. Lineage: Eukaryota; Metazoa; Chordata; Aves; Psittaciformes; Psittacidae. The transcript has 2 exons. The record is from RefSeq and is a predicted model, not a curated record.